Non-coding RNA from Pogona vitticeps (central bearded dragon), 359 nucleotides. Lineage: Eukaryota; Metazoa; Chordata; Lepidosauria; Squamata; Agamidae. The record is from RefSeq and is a predicted model, not a curated record.
GGGUAUGCGGGGAUAGACUGCCUCCAGAUAAGGGGGAUCUGUUUAGAUUUCGGGACCGGACUGGGAGCAGUUCUUGGUAACUCGGCUCAAAUGUCAUGCAUUUUGAUGAGAACUGGAACACAUUUCCGACUCCUGGCAAAAAUAAAAAACACAUUUCUCCUUCUCUCUUUGGACACUCGGAAAGAAGCGCUUACCCCACCCCCUCCUGUGGCAGAGCCCUAGGGUUACAGGGGGAGAAGAAUCCACAGGAUUGAACCAUUCUCAGUGCGGAGAGAAAAAAACCAUAUUUGUUGUUGUAUCACUUGUCAUUAUGAACUGCUGGAUAGCUUGGUGGAUUAGCCAUCAGGUUGGGAGUUCGA